RNAcentral lists this transfer RNA (63 nucleotides) under Sinocrepis fulva. RNAcentral's name for it is "tRNA-Cys". Lineage: Eukaryota; Metazoa; Arthropoda; Insecta; Coleoptera; Chrysomelidae. The record is from RNAcentral.
GGCUUUAUAAUCAAAAAUGAGUUUAAAUUGCAAAUUUAAAAGUAAGAUUAAUCUUUAAGGCUU